Molecule: long non-coding RNA, 2859 nt
Organism: Cyprinus carpio (common carp)
Lineage: Eukaryota; Metazoa; Chordata; Actinopteri; Cypriniformes; Cyprinidae
Source: Ensembl
CACUACUAUAUUUCAUUUUGGAAAUACUUCCAAUUAUUGAAAUAAUUUCACAUUUUAAGCGAUAUAACUGUAUAAAAUAAAUGUGAAUGAUUGUUACAGGAGACAGCUUCAGCAAUUGAGUCCAUCAUUACGGAGUUCAGUGGACCUGCAGGCCUUGACAUUGAUGGAAUCCACCUGUUCAAAUCAGCACAGGCAGUGGAUUCUCACUGGGCAACUGCAAGCAAGCAUCUUAGUUGUAUGCAGGACCCCCCUGGCAUACGGUUGUAUGUGUCAGUGAAGGUGGUGAUGCUGAAUGGUGUCCACCUGAACAAGUACAGGUGUCGGCGAGGCAGUAACUCCUUGGAGGGCUUGCACUCACACCUGUACAAUGCCAUUCCCUCACAGAGAUGUGGAGUUAUGCCAUUCCAAGUAAGUAUAAACAGCUUUAAUAUUUAAAAAAAAAAUUGAUUACACAUCAUUGUUCAUAGCCAUAUUUUAUCUCUAUUAUAUCUCUUCCUGUGCGUGUGUGAGCUCUAUGCUGUUCACAUAGCAUCAACUGGGUGUAUGAGAUGCACACACACAAAAUAGCCUAUUGCGGACAAAAGACAAAUUGUAUGUCAUGCUGCUGGGAAAUGUCCACUUUGUAAUCAAAAUUAGUUUCUGAUGUACAAUAAUGCAUGAAUGGUCAUGUCUUUCAGGUGUAUCUGAUUGCGUUUGCUGUGCAGUGGAACAGCUGCAUGGAAUCGCUCCGGGUUGCUGGUGGUCAUGGCAGGCAGACGUGGUGUAUGGACCCACGGCAGAUUCAGCACCUGAAUCAGCAGGCUGAGGUGCUCUUCGGUAAAGAGCAUGUCCUCAAGCCCAACUUUGCCGCUCCAAUGCCCUACCCUGCUGUAUACAAGGACCCAGACGAGGAGGAGCUCCUUGGAGUAGAGUAUGCCAUGUGCCAGUCAACCAGCUUCACUGCAAAGGAUUACUAUGCCCAGCAAGUUGAGGAAGAGCAGUCCCGUGAAGAAGAGGAGACGGCUGAACAAAGUGAGGACAAGCUGGCAGAUGAGGGUGUGGACAUGGGUGCAGAGUCAGAGGAGGAUCCUAUGGACACUGUCAGUGACAAACAUGUCAUCCUCACUCAAUCAGAACAGGUGGAGGAGGAGGACAGUCCUGCUCUGCAGGAUGUGCUGAUGACCCAGAGCCAUCUGCAUCUUCCUGGGCUUGAGGAAGUGGAAGCCUUGGCCCUGCUCAUUUUAGAACUGGCAGACAACAGUGACCGUCACCUAGUGCCAGCUGACCUAAGGCUGAAGAUUGGCACUGCAGUUGGUGCUCUGCAUGAGCAUGACAGGUCUGCAGCCAACUUUGUAAAAAGGUAUGAGUCGAGGUGGGGUUACACCCUGUUUGGCAGAUGCUUGGGAGCUGACACACCUGAGACCAGAGCAGCACAGAAGACAAAGUUUUCCUGGAUGAGGUACCCUCAGGCAGCCCAGGUGACUGAGGAUAGUCGUCUGUUGUACCUCAUUAUUAAGAUGCUGAAAAACCGGCCACCAGCCAGUCGUCUCACCUCCCCCACUAAAAUCACCAAUGCAAUCAAGAGCCAGUAUAAAAGGAUUGUAGACCGAGUCAGAGACGAUCCCAUCCUCAACGGUCUCUACAUUCCUCUGCCCAAUCUGAAUGCCAAGUCCAUCUCUACAUUCAUGGCAGGGGAAGAGAAGAAGGCUAACUACAGGGCAACAGUAAUGCCAAAGGUGAAACCCCACCAAAGAGUGCUGUCAGAAGAACCAAUGCCAGCAGCUCCUACUCUGCCAGAAUCCCUUCCAGCUCCAGAUCGACCUCAGGUUCAGUACCAGAGCCUACGUCAUGUAGCUGGGAAAAGGCAUGGUAAAAAGUAAGUUGUUCAGUUCUUCAUUUCACAAGUAUGUGACUUUACUUCUUUAUUACAAUAUGUGAACAUAUCUGAAUUUAUCAGCUGAAUGGUUUAAACUUAAACACAACAAACCAUGUGAAUUGAUAGUCAUACACAUUAUUUCUCAUGAAUUAUACUCAUCAUCGCAUGUAUGAUUUAUUUUUGCAGGCUAGAUGUGGAAAUGCUUGUGAACCAGCCCAUUCAACCUAAAACCCCUGUGACCACGUACAUCCCACCCAGAGCGUCAGCAGCACCUGUCCUGGUAGUGGUUCCUGCACAGCCACAGGGACCAUCCAUGAUGCUCUGUGGGGCAUCCAGCAGUCAAGGGUUCAUACCUUUCACACCGCCUCCUGCGCUGACAUCCAGACCAAUCAAGCCUCAUAAAUCCAUGAAGCCUUGUGGGGCCUGCCAAGUACCCCAGUGUGGUGGGCAGCGUAAGAGGUACACACCCUCCAAAGACAAGGCUGCCUGAAGUAGCCAAAAAAUAUUUACCUAUUGCCCAGCAACUAGGAAGUCCACCACUUAAGGUUUUGAAGGUGUUGUGUUCAACAGUUUUGAACACUUCAAAAGUGUAGUAGAUGAGGAACUAAAAAAGAAAAAAACUACAACUACAUCUGCAACUACAUCCCCCAAAUCACAAUAGCAGAUUUCUGGGGUAUGGUUUGGACUUGGUUCAGACCUGGAUUAGACUUAGUUUAGAUUUCCCCCUUAUUUGGUCCUGGUUUAGACAUGGUGUGGGUUAGUCAGAAUUACCUGUGCACAGAGAUUUACAUGUCCUCAACAUUAUUUACACUUUGUGGGUUACAAUGUACAAUGUUCAAUUUGUCAUGUUAUUUAUAUUCUCAUUAUAAGGCUAAAAUAUAAUAAGUCAUAUUUGCUACUAUAUCUGCCUCUUAUACCAAUUCACCGAUUCAUUAUACACCAUCUAUAAAACACAUACCUAUUUUCUCAUAGAAAAAAAAAGAUGUGUUUUUAGUGAAUGUAAA